AGGGAAUUUUCGGCAAUGGGGGAAACCCUGACCGAGCAACGCCGCGUGAAGGAAGAAGUAAUUCGUUAUGUAAACUUCUGUCAUAGAGGAAGAACGGUGGAUAUAGGGAAUGAUAUCCAAGUGACGGUACUCUAUAAGAAAGCCACGGCUAACUACGUGCCAGCAGCCGCGGUAAUACGUAGGUGGCGAGCGUUAUCCGGAAUUAUUGGGCGUAAAGAGGGAGCAGGCGGCACUAAGGGUCUGUGGUGAAAGAUCGAAGCUUAACUUCGGUAAGCCAUGGAAACCGUAGAGCUAGAGUGUGUGAGAGGAUCGUGGAAUUCCAUGUGUAGCGGUGAAAUGCGUAGAUAUAUGGAGGAACACCAGUGGCGAAGGCGACGAUCUGGCGCAUAACUGACGCUCAGUCCCGAAAGCGUGGGGAGCAAAUAGGAUUAGAUACCCUAGUAGUCCACGCCGUAAACGAUGAGUACUAAGUGUUGGGUGUCAAAGCUCAGUGCUGCAGUUAACGCAUUAAGGUACUCCGCCUGAGUAGUACGUUCGCAAGAAUGAAACUCAAAGGAAUUGACGGGGGCCCGCACAAGCGGUGGAGCAUGUGGUUUAAUUCGAAGCAACGCGAAGAACCUUACCAGGUCUUGACAUCGAUCUAAAGGCUCCAGAGAUGGAGAGAUAGCUAUAGAGAAGACAGGUGGUGCAUGGUUGUCGUCAGCUCGUGUCGUGAGAUGUUGGGUUAAGUCCCGCAACGAGCGCAACCCCUGUUGCCAGUUGCCAGCAUUAAGUUGGGGACUCUGGCGAGACUGCCGGUGACAAGCCGGAGGAAGGCGGGGAUGACGUCAAAUCAUCAUGCCCCUUAUGACCUGGGCUACACACGUGCUACAAUGGACAGAGCAGAGGGAAGCGAAGCCGCGAGGUGGAGCGAAACCCAUAAAACUGUUCUCAGUUCGGACUGCAGUCUGCAACUCGACUGCACGAAGAUGGAAUCGCUAGUAAUCGCGAAUCAGCAUGUCGCGGUGAAUACGUUCCC
Molecule: ribosomal RNA, 1018 nt
Filed under: uncultured bacterium
Lineage: Bacteria
Description: bacterial SSU rRNA
Rfam family: Bacterial small subunit ribosomal RNA
Source: RNAcentral